AUCUACGCUCUAACUUAACCUAGAUAGAUAGGUAGGUGUCAAUAGGAAAGAUGGUAGAAUUGAAUAAGAACAAUAUUAAAGGUAAGAUAACAAUGGGUGAUAAUAUGGGAAUAGAGAGUAGAGCAAUCUAGUAUAUGGGCGAUGGUAGGAGAAUAGAGACGAUAACUAUGGUUUCUCGACAUCAAUGGGGUAUGUCUAUUUCUGGGGCGAACCACGUGAUAAUAAUACACCACAAAGGAUGCUUAUCCAUAGCCGAUAAACUCUAACAGUCCGGCUAACAGGAGGUGGACUACAGGGGACCAACGUAAGAGUCACCUACGCGGCCUACCAGACGAUCUGGCUAGACAGGGGAUAUCCACAAGUAAUCUAGGUCUAAGCACCACGCUUACACCUAUACUACAACUCUCACCUAUAGCGUCCUAUAUAUAGAUUAAAGUACUCAAAAGAGUUGUGAACCAAAACAUACAUGGAUAGCAAUUACAUAAUGAAAUAAGAAGUAGAUUACCAGAGUCAUCCCAUGAGCAAGCUUGAUUAGAGCUUGAUCAUGGCGAAGUACAACCGGAGGAAGAACUGAUAGGUCGGCCUCUCCUCCAAUCCUCCCUCGCUCUCCAUCUCGCUACUAUCUAGAUCUACUCUAGUUUAGAGAUGAGAGGAGAGCUCUCAUCUCCAAACCCUAGCUUUUGCUCUAUCUAUGAAUAAUGAAUAAGGAUGAAGGGGUGCCUCCUCCAGGGGCCAGGGGGUCUGCUUAUAUAGGCCCCUCAAGUGAAUCUGGGUCGUCGGAUCAAACCGAUAUUAAUCGCACGGUUUUCCUUGAUCCUUUAGGUCGGUGGAGCAUGAUCCGCGAAGUUGGUUCUGAUUGGUGGAAAAAGUAGGGCGGGCGCCCAAGGGGGGAGGGCGGGCGCCCUACCCCCGAGCCCGCUCGGCUUCCCGUUCGUUCCCGUGGCUUCUGGACUCUUCUAGAUGAUAGAAAAUUGUGCGGCACGUUAAUAUCUCUAUGUAAACCCGACGUGUGGGCCUUUCCUCUACAUUUCCUGAUAACCCCCUGCAGAAAUAGACAAACACCAAAACUCGUGGAAUUUUGUCAAAUAAAACCCUAAGUCUGGGUGUUGGUUGCAUUUGGAUCCUUUUCUUUGUUUAUUUGAUAAUUAAAUUUGGUACUUAAGGACAGUCAACAACUCCUCGAAGCUUACCUCUUGCUUGUCCCUCAGCAAAGAUGGACUCAAGAGUUUCUGCAGUGGUUUCAUGCCUUAAAGGUACACAUGCGUUCAAACAAGAUCUCAUGGUUAGGGUAAACUGUUAACACUUAAAACUUACUCAUUAUACCUUUCACCAUGGGGCUUGCAACCGUCACUUCUGUCUCGAGCAGUUAAAAGAUAGAACAGUCUAUUCAAGCGCUAUGUCUCUUAUUCUUGAUUAGCUAUAGCUUUGGAGUUUUCGUAAAUUUUCAAAAUAAAACUCAGAGAUUCCUUGUAUGACUCUCUCUAGUCUGUCUUUUGUUGUAUUUCUGGAUUCUUACCAAGGCAGUGAUGGUAUAUGCCUUCUCUCAAAGUAUGUGGUAUUUGUGGUAUGAGGCAUAGUGAUAUUGCCUUCUCUCUCACCCUACUCUAAUAAGGUUUUGAUAUCUGGAGCUCAUAGGUGGGAGAUAAAGUAUACAUACUUACAAGACAUUUAUUGCAUAGUCAAACCAUGGAUCCAGAGAAACAAGUCAAUAAGUCAAUAUCAAGAUGUGCAUGUGUGGCAAAUGAAUGAUGUAUGGUGAUGAUGGUGAUAAUGGUGAAAACAAUGGUGAAAGUCUAAUUCUACUUUUGCUCUUUUGAGAGGAUACAUACCUUUCUUGCACUUUGAAGCUUUUUGAGGAGAAUGAGAUGCUCUAUAUUUUGUUUUUCUUUUCACUCAGGUGGGUAUCUUGUACCCCUAAUUCUACUAUCGGACACUUGUCCAUUUUUACCUCUCGUCUCACUUUUUUUUAUUUUUUUUUUAUUUUUUUCGAGGUUCCGGGCACUUGCCCCUUUUUAUUUCCUCAUAUUUAUUUUUUUUCAGAGCACUCACCCUCCUGGAAUAAUGUAGCAAGUGGUACUAACCAAAAUAUCUUGAGUAUUUAUUUCAUGCGGAAUAAUAGGGAUAGGAUAAUGUUUUUGGCUAUUCUCUCCUUGAUAGGAGUAGAAUAAUUUUGGGUGAAUCUAGAGAUGGAAAGGAGUGGAUAUAUGUGGAUGCGUACUUCCGGAGUAGAAGCAGCAUGUAUGAGUGAAUGUGUAAGUGAAUCUUGAUUUUAACCGCAUGACAAGCUCCUAAGGGUCUACACAGCUUGACCACACUCAAUGCUCAUAAUCAGUGAAAAUUAAAUGUAUGGUUCAUAGUCUAAUAAGCAUGUAUUUAUGGCUAUGCAUCAUGCAACAUUUUAAAGAUUUUCAAAGAUAAAAUUCUCCAGAAUUCUAGCAUCUCUAGGAAUAGAUAAACAGCAGCUCAACCUUCCCAUAUCAUAUCCGUUAAUGACUUAGACUUUAGAUCAAGUACUCUUCCCACAAGUUCAGAUUUAGAGCAAAUCUUAAUUCAUAACAGUCAUACCUAAACUUGAGAGAGAAUUCAAUUUUGAGAACUAAUCAUGGCAGAGCAACUAUUCAUCAUUUCCUUGUGAGAGCUUACCAUGAGGGUUCAUAUCACACUUUGUUUAUUUAUGUAUUUAGCAAACUAAGCGAAGAUGUAUAUAUAAGCACAAAAAUCUUUAUUUGGAUUUUUAUGAUUAUACAUCUUUUUAUUAUUUGAGUAAAGUAUAAACGCGAGUAGAAACACUUAGCUGGAUAUAUGGGGGUGCUCUCCCCCAAGCUGGAUUUUGACGUAAUUUCUUCUGAUGUAGCUAGCAGGUGGCGGAGGUGUAUUUGAAAGUCGGCAGCACCCUGACAGCGAUUAGGAUGUCCUCCGUCUGCUAGUCUUCCUUGAUCCUUGAAUUCUGUGGAGCUCAAAUAGACAACAAAGCUUUGUGGAACUAGUUAAGUGUUAGCAUAAAUAUCUAGCCUUUAUCAUGUUGAGCUUCCUCUAAAAAAUAUUACUCUCUUUGGUAGGAUCAUAAAUUUAUUUUUAUAUUUUCAUUUCUAUAGGACAGGAAUAUAUUUUUUUAUUUUUACGCCACCACAGUGAAUGUACUUGUGGGUUUUAUGCCACGAGCAUACUGACAUGGGGCUUACUAUUUUUAACAUUUUUAUUUUCUUUUCAAGAUAGCAUGAUUAACUAAUAAGCUAUUUAAGGAAAGUAAAUAAUUUAAGAGAAAAGGGAAUGCAGAAAGGAUAAAUAUGUAUCGAUUUUACCUUUCGGCGAGGGUUCAAUGUUUUAAAUCUUCUAAACAAGACUUCUCACCGUGUUCAUUCUUUAGGUGCGUCAUUUGAUUCAGGUGCGGACCUUGACGUCUGCACCUCUUGAUACGGUGUCACCCAUGUUCUUCGUUUGCCCAGCAGUUCGAAGUGCGGCAUUGGCAGUAUCUUGCUCAGUGUGUUUGUACUCGUAGAUCCAGGUCCUUCACUUGGUGGAAUCUAGGAGUUGUAAAACUCCACCAUAUUUUGCUCCAAGUGUACGUGCUCAUAGAGACAAGGCAGAGAUCAAGUGCAUGGGUCCUGUUGGUUGAAAACACCAACAGAACCAAAAGUAUAUUUAUUCUUCUCUAUCCUUAAGCAUAGGGAGCAAGUCAAAGUUGAUGGGUGAUAAGUUCAUGAGUGUAACAGAAACAAAAGUUUAUUCUUCUCUAUCCUUAAGCAUAGGGAGCAAGUCAAAGUUGAUGGGUGAUAAGUUCAUGAGUGUAGCAUUUAAAACAUUUGUCAGAUCAGAUGGAAAGAUAAUCUAUCUAUAUUUAUGUUUUUUAUAUAUCUUCCAAAGAUUGAGUGUGCAACAUUUUAGCUCAUAUGAUUAGGAGGGUGGGAUCAUGGAGGUAGUACUAGGAACAAAGAUUAAAGGACUAAACAUGCUAAAUCAGUUGGGUUGGUUAAUUUGAAGUUAUAAAUAAUACAUGUUUGUCUCUUUAUUUAUGUGAACACUAGAACCAAAGAGAAGCUUAUAAAAGUGAUAGUCAAGUACCUUAAGAUGUUACCUUACUUGAAGAGUGAUGGUACAGUAUCACCUUGUGGAAGCUUUCCUUUCUUAGCAGUUGUGCAUCGUGUUUGUGGCACCCUCCAAGGAUCAUCUCUUAUGAGCUACGUCUUCCUUGUGUAAAUUGUUAAACUUGAUGUGUCUCUCUCUUUGUCUCCAAUGUGAGUUUAUCUCAGGACUUUCCAGGUCGAUAUUGAAAGUUUUCCAGUAGGGGUUAGUACAACAAAAUAUCCAAUAUCUACUAUAGCAUACUAUCGGCUCAAAAAUCAACCUAGACACCAUGUCUAAUUUGAUUUAGGAGGGCAUUUUAACCUAAAGCACCAUGCUUAAUUUAAAAUCCCUUGGAAGUAUGAUCAUCAUUCCUAAACUAAGCACCAUGCUUAUUUAAGAGAUAACUGAAACUACUCCAAACCUAGACAUAUACUAAAGCAAAUAAAGGUAGCAUGAGAGCAUUUAUAGAGAUCUACUCAAGUGGAGAUGAAGUAGUGUGAUUAGUAUUUAACAAAUUAAGCAUGUCUCAAAGGUAGGGACAACCAACAUAGCAACAUGGCAAAUGAUAUUUUUAUGUAAAGUACUCCCCCAAGCUUGAAUUUUGCAAAAUUCAAGUUUGGAUGAAUUUUAUUCAGUGUUGCAUGAUGAUUGGUUGGACAUACCUUGUGCUUGUCAUUCAUCCGAUCUUCUUGCUCCAAUCCUGGAAAGGUUAGUGACAAGAAUACCCAAAGGAAUAUUUUUACAAUUAUCCUUAUAUGCUCAAUAAAAGGUAAUGUUGCAAAUAAUUAAAAGCUCAUGUUACGAUCUGACCAGUGCUCAUUUUAGGACACUAAGCUUGUCCUUGGGAAACCAUCAAUUUGUGUCGACGAAGUGGUUUCCCUUCCAACACUGACCUAUAUCAAGAUCAACUCAACGAGAUUUGCAAUAUUUAUUAUAGACAUAUGCAUCGACAACUGUGGUUGGAGAUCUCAAAUUUGGUGAUGUUUGAGAGACCAAUAGAUUGGGAAGAUGUUGUAUAUGAUCAUGGAGUAAACGAAGUGGCUAUGAAAUAAAUUUCAUGCUCGUUAAUGUUAUCUUCAUCUCUAAUCUAAAUGUUCGGAGUUUCGCCUAGAUUGGUCUCACCUAUGUCCUCUUCUGUGGUUGGAUAAAUCUCAUCUUCAAAGGGAGUCAAGAAUUCACCAUUUGAAAUUGAACCAAAGUCAGAAUCCAUUAAGGCUUCUUCCUUAUCGAUCCAUUUAGAACUUGUGAUCAAGAAAGGGGAGGUGUUAGAAUUUUCUAUAUGGCUUAGCUCUCCUUCUAUGACAUUACUUGACAUGUUAUCCUCAUGGUCUUUAUGACUCCUAUGGUUUGAUCGGCUUGAUGGAUUGCUAGGAUCAUCAUGAGACUGAAAAGGAGAGGGAUAAGAGGGGUCUCUAAGGUUAAGGAUGGAUUUAGAAUUUGUGAACAUGGAAGGGGAGCAGCUAGAAUCUUCUAUAUGGUUUAGCUCUCCUUCACUUGAUAUGUCAUCCUCGACUUCUUUAUAACAGGAACUAGGACAUUCUCUAAGAGAACCAUUAUUGCAAGGAUUUGAAUUAUCCCUGCUUGAAGGUCUCUUAUGGAACCAGAAGUCUAAACCAUCAGCAUCUGAAAUAUUUAUGGUCGGAAUUCCUUCCUCCCUUGGAGAAUUUUGGGGUAUUGAUGGUUUAGGAUCGAUAGCUAAAGUUUGGUAUUGAAGUGGUUGUGAUCUGGCUAUUGAAACUUCUUCUUCUUGUCUAGGAACUGGUUCUUUCUCUUUCUCAGGGAUAUAAAUGCUAGGAAACUUUCCACUCAAUGAAUCAAUUAAAUCCCUAGCUUCACUAGCAGGUAGGUGAUAGAAGGAUCCUCUAGAGGAUGUAUUCAAGGUUUGCUUAUUUUCCCUACUAAGGCCCUCAAAAAAGUGAAUUAGAAGAACUUCUUCUGGAAUAGAAAGCUUUGGGCCAGUGAGAGUAAGGUUAAUAAAGCGGACCCAUAAUUUACCAAGAGAUUCUUCUUCCAGUUGUCUAAAAGAAAUAAUCUCAUGCCGAAGUUCUGCCACUUUGGAGAUUGGAAAAUAUUUAAAAAGAAAACUAUUAUAUAACUCCUUCCAAUCUCCAUGAACACUCCCUACUUUGAGUUUGUACCAAUGUCUAGCUUUUUCCUGUUAAAGAGAAUUGAAAGAACUUCCAUUUAAGGGUCUCAUCGGACAUGCCUUCUAUGCGAAGGAGGUCACAAAAUCGAUAAAACUCUCUUAAGUGUGUGUAUGGGUUUUCCUCACCUUCUCCUGAGAAAGGUUGUUUUUGAACAAAUUCUAUGUAUUCGGGGUCUAUCUCAAAACUAGAUGCUAUGAUAGGCUUUGAAGAUUUUGGUGGUUCGAGAUAUGUGCCCGUAGGUCUAUGAAAUUCAUAGAUAGACAUGUUUGAAUUCAUGAUAGACCAGAGAUCAAGGAUUAGAUAAGAAGAAAGAAUAGCAGAGAUAAGGCAAAAGAUAAAAGGAAAAGUAUAUUUUUUUAUUUUUUUUAGAAAAUGAUUAAGCUAGUUCGUAGUCAACUCAGCAACCGUUUCCCCGACAACGGCGCCAAAAAGCUUGUUGACACUUGCUAAUACCACUUGAAUACUAGGUUGUCAUCCCCAGCAUGGCACUAGAGUGUACUAUGGUAUUUAUACGCACACAGAUAAAUCCGCAAGCGCACGGAUACCGUUGUAGCUUUUACCCGGUUAAAGGUUUUAUCGUAUCCACAUGGGAAAUAGGAGAACUGAUCUACGCUGUAACUUAACCUAGAUAGAUAGGUAGGUGUAAAUAGGAAAUAUGGUAGAAUUGAAUAAGAACAAUAUUAAAGGUAAGAUAACAAUAGGUGAUAAUAUGGGAAUAGAGAGUAGAGCAAUCUAGUAUAUGGGCGAUGGUAGGAGAAUAGAGAGGAUAACCAUGGUUUCUCUACUUCAAAGAGGUAUGUCUAUGUCUGGGGCGAACCACGUGAUAAGAAUACACCACAAAGGAUGCUUAUCCAUAGGCCGACAAACUCUACCAGUCCUGCUAACACGAGGUGGACUACAGGCGACCAACGUAACUGUCACCUACGCGGCCUACCACACAAUCCGGCUAGACAGGGGAUAUCCACAAGUAAUCUAGGUCUAAGCACCACGCUUACACCUAUACUACAACUCUCACCUAUAGCGUCCUAUAGAUUAAAGUACUCAAAAGAGUUGUGAACCAGAACAUACAUGGAUAGUAAUUGCAUAAUGAUAUAAGAAGUAGAUUACUAGAGUCAUCCCAUGAGCAAGCUUGAUUAGAGCUUGAUCAUGGCGAAGUACAACCGGAGGAAGAACCGACAGGUCGGCCUCUCCUCCAAUCCUCCCUCGCUCUCCAUCUCGCUACUAUCUAGAUCUACUCUAGUUUAGAGAUGAGAGGAGAGCUCUCAUCUCCAAAACCUAGCUUUUGCUCUAUCUAUGAAUAAUGAAUAAGGAUGAAGGGGUGCCUCCUCCAAGGGCCAGGGGGUCUGUUUAUAUAGUCCCCUCAAGUGAAUCUGGGCCGUCGGAUCAAACCGACAUUAAUCGCACGGUUUUCCUUGAUCCUUUAGGUCGGUGGAGCAUGAUCCGCGAAGUUGGUUCUGAUUGGUGG
This 7677-nucleotide long non-coding RNA is filed under the name Sorghum bicolor (sorghum). RNAcentral describes it as "long non-coding RNA (SBIC_LNC012314)". The record is from RNAcentral. Lineage: Eukaryota; Viridiplantae; Streptophyta; Magnoliopsida; Poales; Poaceae.